RNAcentral lists this long non-coding RNA (223 nucleotides) under Elaeis guineensis (African oil palm). Its description in RNAcentral is "long non-coding RNA (EGUI_LNC057928)". The record is from RNAcentral. Lineage: Eukaryota; Viridiplantae; Streptophyta; Magnoliopsida; Arecales; Arecaceae.
GGGGCAAUGUACUGAGGAUAAUUCCUCUUCCAGUGCCCUUUCUUCUUGCAAUAGAAUCAUUUUGCCUGACUCUAAUCAGACUUGGAUUUCUUGGUUUGAUUGGGUUUAGGUGCCCCAGUACUUUGCACCCUUUUUUUGUUCUUCUUGUUCUUCUUUCCUUUCCUAAAGGGUCGACAUCCAGAAGAAGAUCCUCCCACUACAUUCACCAACUCCUUAUAGAGUU